RNAcentral lists this ribosomal RNA (398 nucleotides) under uncultured bacterium. RNAcentral's name for it is "bacterial SSU rRNA". It matches the Rfam family "Bacterial small subunit ribosomal RNA", at positions 29 to 429 of the family's 1533-position model. The record is from RNAcentral.
AUUGAACGCUGGCGGAAUGCUUUACACAUGCAAGUCGAGCGGCAGCGCGGGGGCAACCCUGGCGGCGAGCGGCGAACGGGUGAGUAACAUAUCGGAACGUACCCAGUAAUGGGGGAUAACUACCCGAAAGGGUAGCUAAUACCGCAUACGCCCUGAGGGGGAAAGCGGGGGAUCGAAAGACCUCGCGUUAUUGGAGCGGCCGAUAUCGGAUUAGCUAGUUGGUGGGGUAAAGGCUCACCAAGGCGACGAUCCGUAGCGGGUCUGAGAGGACGACCCGCCACACUGGAACUGAGACACGGUCCAGACUCCUACGGGAGGCAGCAGUGGGGAAUUUUGGACAAUGGGGGGCAACCCUGAUCCAGCCAUUCCGCGUGAGUGAAGAAGGCCUCGGUUGUAAG